Molecule: ribosomal RNA, 492 nt
Filed under: uncultured bacterium
Lineage: Bacteria
Description: partial 16S ribosomal RNA
Rfam family: Bacterial small subunit ribosomal RNA
Source: RNAcentral
AGUGAACGCUGGCGGUAGGCCUAACACAUGCAAGUCGAACGGCAGCACAGUAAGAGCUUGCUCUUACGGGUGGCGAGUGGCGGACGGGUGAGGAAUACAUCGGAAUCUACUUUUUCGUGGGGGAUAACGUAGGGAAACUUACGCUAAUACCGCAUACGACCUACGGGUGAAAGCAGUGGAUCUUCGGACCUUGCGCGAUUGAAUGAGCCGAUGUCGGAUUAGCUAGUUGGCGGGGUAAAGGCCCACCAAGGCGAGGAUUCGUAGCUGGUCUGAGAGGAUGAUCAGCCACACUGGAACUGAGACACGGUCCAGAGUCCUACGGGAGGCAGCAGUGGGGAAUAUUGGACAAUGGGCGCAAGCCUGAUCCAGCCAGACCGCGUGGGUGAAGAAGGCCUUCGGGUUGUAAAGCCCUUUUGUUGGGAAAGAAAAGCAGCAGGUUAAUACCCCGCUGUUCUGACGGUACCCAAAGAAUAAGCACCGGCUAACUUCGUG